GGUUGAUCCUGCCAGAGGUCACUGCUAUCAGUGUUCGACUAAGCCAUGCAAGUCAAAUGUUCUUCGUGAACAUGGCGGACUGCUCAGUAACACGUGGAUAACCUGCCCUUAGGAUUGGCAUAACACCGGGAAACUGGUGAUAAUACCGAAUAGACCAUUUAUGCUGGAAUGCUUUUUGGUUCAAAGGCUUCGGCUGCCUAAGGAUGGAUCUGCGGCCUAUCAGGUAGUAGUGGGUGUAAUGUACCUACUAGCCUACGACGGGUACGGGUUGUGAGAGCAAGAGCCCGGAGAUGGAUUCUGAGACAUGAAUCCAGGCCCUACGGGGCGCAGCAGGCGCGAAAACUUUACAAUGCGGGAAACCGCGAUAAGGGGACACUGAGUGCCAGCAUAUUAUGUUGGCUGUCCACAUGUAUAAAAACCAUGUGUUAGCAAGGGCCGGGCAAGACCGGUGCCAGCCGCCGCGGUAACACCGGCGGCCCGAGUGGUGAUCACUUUUAUUGGGUCUAAAGGGUCCGUAGCCGGUUUGAUCAGUCUUCUGGGAAAUCUGACAGCUCAACUGUUAGGCUUUCAGGGGAUACUGUUAGACUUGGGACCGGGAGAGGUAAGAGGUACUACAGGGGUAGGAGUGAAAUCUUGUAAUCCCUGUGGGACCACCAGUGGCGAAGGCGUCUUACCAGAACGGGUCCGACGGUGAGGGACGAAAGCUGGGGGCACGAACCGGAUUAGAUACCCGGGUAGUCCCAGCCGUAAACGAUGUUCGCUAGGUGUCAGGGACGGUGCGACCGUUUCUGGUGCCGUAGGGAAGCCGUGAAGCGAACCACCUGGGAAGUACGGCCGCAAGGCUGAAACUUAAAGGAAUUGGCGGGGGAGCACUACAACGAGUGGAGCCUGCGGUUUAAUUGGAUUCAACG
RNAcentral lists this ribosomal RNA (911 nucleotides) under uncultured archaeon. Its description in RNAcentral is "bacterial SSU rRNA". It matches the Rfam family "Archaeal small subunit ribosomal RNA", at positions 6 to 917 of the family's 1478-position model. The record is from RNAcentral.